Molecule: non-coding RNA, 20363 nt
Organism: Zootoca vivipara (common lizard)
Lineage: Eukaryota; Metazoa; Chordata; Lepidosauria; Squamata; Lacertidae
Source: RefSeq, a predicted model, not a curated record
GAGAGAGAGAGAAUGACAGCGGAUGAGAGCUGCGUGUCCCGACGGGCUGUUUGCACCGCGUGAGGUAGUGAAAGAAAGCGGCUUCCCUUCCCAUCCCCCACCGUUUCCGGACGCAUUCUUCUCUCCUUUCCUCCCCCGCCCCCGCGUGACCGUUUUUAACCGUUGGGGGAGAGGCGGGGCGGUAGGUUGCUGCGCGUGCGCAUUGGGAAAUUCUGGGGUUUUUCCCUCAGACGGUUCGCAGUGAACAUAGAAGCCUUGAUGCGACAUUUGCAGGAUCGUCGUUCGAGCGAGGUGCGAGCGCGCGCUCUUUUCCCCUUCCCCCUUCUCCCGAUUGACGACUGGGACCCUCGUUCUCCCCCUUUCCUCCCGCUCUCCCUCGGACCAGGGCGCGCGUUGUCGUCAUUCCGAAGCCGCGCCGUUUGCUGCUUCGCCCAGAAGCCAUUUUCCUAAUCGGCUGCAUGAAGAAGACGGCGAUUUAAAAUGGCGUCGGCGGCGUCUUUCUCUCGUCAAUUAUCGCCUCCUUUCUCUCAGGGGGUUCACCCCCCCUUCUCGUGCCUUAUUUUUAGAUGGGUGAAUGUAAUUAAGUCUUUUCUUGGGUGUGUUGUGUUGUGUAAAAAAAACUCGCGUUCAUAUAUUUUCCUUGCCUAAUUGUCGUUAAAGAUGAAUUGGUUUUUUCAAGGUGCGUUUCAGCACCUUUUAUUGGACUCUUUGUGCUCUUAAAGUUCAGAAGAAUAGUAUUUGGUUAACGUUCUCGUGUCGGACUUGGCAUUAAAAUACCGAUCUGUUUCUGUGUAGUCCUUGGAAUUAAAAUAGUGUGCUUUUUCUCGAGUUGCUUUCGUCUGCUUGCCAGGUAUUCCAGAACACAUAAGGAACAAAACAUUGACUAGAUAAUGGCAUUAACCUUUCUCAGGAGAACAGUCAUAGUUCAGAACAAUCGGCUAGUAUCUUACUACAAAAUAUCUACAAAGAGACAUAAUUGGAAAAGUAGUAGGGAUAGUUGAAUCUGCUGCUAAUUGAAAUAGUAAGUAUUGGGUUGGAGUCUCUAUGCUACCGGUAAGCACUAUGUUUAAUAGUAGAAAUGCUAAAUAGCCAAAAAUAAAAAUAAAAAUGAGUAGAUAUGUGUGGAAUCUUAGCUCAAAAUACAUUUUAUACCUUUGCCUGUUUUUUCCUAUUUGAAUUGUGUUAGAGAAACUGGUUUGUUUUUUGCCUCUUGUUUUUUAAUAAAUUAAGAAAUGAAUGUUUUACAAAUGAAUUUGACAGCAAAUUGUUUUCACCACUUUGAGAACACCUGAAAUAUACACCUGCUGAAACAGUUCAGAGGAGGAGGGAGAAAUCACUUGGUGUAUGAAUGACUCCGGGCAAAAUAAUGCAUUUGGAGAAGCUGGAAAAUAUGCUUGUAGCAAGACUAGGUAAGUAAAUAUUUUUCAGUGGUGGUGAAAUCACAGGAAGAAAUAGGAUGAAAUUUUUAAAAGAUUUAGAAUAAGAUGUACCACUGUCAAACAUGUUUAGAAUGUUGGUGUAAGCUACAUUAGAUCAUUGACCUACAUCCAGUUUUAUUUUUGAGGCUCUGCAUCUUGUGGAAGAACAAAAGGCUAACCAUGUAUUCAAGGAUGUACAAUAUAAUAAAAUAGUAAUUUGAACGGGAAACUGGAUCUCACUUGAUGGACUGCAUGACUGCGGAACUUCUGGACCACCCAUAAAAGAAUGCAGAAGAAUUUGACACAUCUGUUCAUCCAAGAAGCCUUACAAUUUAAAUCCAAGAAUAUGCAAAGACUCCAGGUGGCCUCAUGAAGAAAUUUAAACUUCAUGGGCUGAGAACCUAUAUGUGAAGAACUAGAUUUCAAGAUAAGAGUUUGUUUAAUUUGCUAACAAAUAGCAUAUUAAAUUUCUGGUCUAUUCAUUGAACUCUGCAUUGCAGCUUGUAGUGUUCUAGGCUUGGAAUACGUGCCUGACACUGAUACCUUUCAGAGGAUCUUUUUCUUAGGCUUCUUGAAAUUCUUGAUUAUAAUAACUUUUAAUAUUCUGAUUAUUUUUCAUUAUUCAGGUCAUUACUGUUUACAUUUAAUGACAGUAUCCAUGUUGAGUUGCUUUGAGAACAUCUCUGGGCCUGAAAAUCAAAAUAUUCAAUACAGGCAGCCCCCAAUUUGUGCAGGAGUUGCAUUCUGGGUCAUUGUUUUGAGACUGCAGAACAUGCAUAAACCUACGCUUCUGCCCCACAUUAUAUCUCCUUUUCCAGCCACUUCCAGAUCAUUGUGAUGUGCAAGGUUGUGCAAAUACUGAACAUGUGUAAAUCAGUUGAUGCCUGUAAUUAAAAAAAACAAUGCUAAGCUUAAGAACAUAUACAAAGCAUAGGAUCUAUUUCUAUCUUUAGGGCAUAUAAAGCAUUCUUGUAACUGGAUUAUAAAGACUGAUUUCUUACGAAUGUGGAAUGAGUAUUGUACUGCUUGUAACAAUGCCCGUUCUGCAUUUUGAAUUAGUUGAGGGGGCAUAUAUGGGGCAAAUAAUUCUCACAAGUAAGCUGGUCCCAAGGUUUAAGGGCUGUAUAUACUAAUAGUAACACUUGAACUUGGCAAUUGGUAACAAUUUGUUCUUGAACUGGUAACAAUUUGAACUUGGCAACUGGUACAGGUCUCUGAAGGGAUGCUAGUGGCGCUGAGCCUCUUGGGCUUGCUGAUUGGAAGGUCGGCGGUUCAAAUCCCUGCAAGGGGUUGAGCUCCCAUUGCUCGGUCCCAGCUCCUGCCAACCUAGCAGUUGGAAAAUAGGUACCUCUCCGGUCGGAAGGUAAACAGCAUUUCUGUGCAAUGCUCUGGUUUCGGUGUUCCGUUGCACCAAAAGCAGCUUAGUCAUGCUGGCCACAGGACCCAGAAAAACUGCGGACUAAUGCCAGCUCCCUCAGCCUGUAAAGCGGGAUGAGCACCACAACCCCAGAGUCAUCUGCGACUGGGCUUUACUGUCAGGGGUCCUUUACCUUUGCAGGUCUCUGAGCAGAGCUGUUAUAUGCUGGCAUAGUCUCAAUCCUGUCAGAAUUAAUGCUGCAGCAUUGUGAACUAACUACAACUUCUGGAUUAAGUGCUAGGGAAGCUGAUACAAGUCAAUUGCAGUAAUCCAAUCUUGAAGUAACCUACAUGAAUUACUGUGACCAAGCAUUCCUAACCCAGAAAGGCCAUAGCUGUUGUACCUUUUACCAGCUAUAACAGGUACAACUAGCAUCUGAAGCUACCCGGGCCUCCAGUGUCAAAGCUGGAUUCAGAAGUACACCCAGCCUGCAAACCUCCAGGGGGAGCGCAACCCCAUCCAGGGUAGACAAGUUACCAAUUUCUCAGACAUGGAAACCACACAUCCUCAGUACCUCUUUUUUGCCCAGGAUUGAAACUCACCUUUGUUUUCCUCAUUCAUCUCGCCACUGUUUCCAGACACCCAGUGUUGGAGACAGAGCUAUGAAAGCUAGGAACUAAAUGGCACUUUAAGCUUAGGUUAUGGGCACAACAACUGAAUGUCUUAAGCACACUUUUUUUAAAAAUAACAAUACAAAGAUGAAAAUGAACAGCUAAAAUCUAUUUUUCACAAGGUCUAGUCCUCUGAAGACAAAAAGAAGCAAUACUCCGCCUAGAGCUUAGAAACUGCUUGCACUAAUGAAAUUCCUUGGGGGUUUCGAACACUGCAGAGAACACUGCAUGAUGUGAUGACUCCUGGAUGAUAGCCAAAAUUUCCAGCUGCUGAAGGUGGAACAGAUUAUACGGUUUAAAUGUUCAUGUGUGUACAUGUCAUUUAAAACUAUUAGAUACUGUGUGUAUCUUCUACAGCUUGUGCCCAAAUCAUUCCUGAAGGGGGUAUGUGUUGGCAGCUGGUGUUGCUUAAGACUUAUGGAAAAAAUACACCCACACAAGUUUUGUGUGUAAGAACUGCUGUUUAUAGAACCCUAAAAUACAACCAGAAGGAAUGCAGUACGUCAGUACCUUGAGGAGCCACGCUAUCAUCCAGUCUGUAUUUGGGGGCGAUCUGCAGAGAAAUAUACUAACUUGUACAGAGCUAUGCCAAAUGAGUUGGAUGGGUAUGGUUGGAAGUAGACCAAGCUUAUUUCUGGCUACAAAUAGGUGUUGAGGUAUUUGUGUCUCACCGCCUAGAUUUCAGCAUCCAUCUCAUAAUUGACAUUCAGUUAUACAUUCAAUAGGUAGAGGAAAAAGAAUUGUUAACAUAGCUGUUAAAGUUUCCAAGAAAAUAUACUUUGAAGUUAGCCUGGCAAUAGCAAAGAUUGAAAGAUGCUUCCAUUGGCUGACAGGAUUAUGAUGGCAUAAUUCAAGAUACAGCAUCAUCUACAGUGGUACCUUGGUUUAUGAACACAAUUGGUUCCGGAAGCCUGUUCAUAAACUGAAGCGUGCAUAAACUGAAGCAAACUUUCCCAUUGAAAGUAAUGGAAAGUGGAUUAAUCUGUUCCAGACGGUCCGCAGAGUACUUAAACUGAAGCGUUCAUAAACUGAAGCAAACUUUCCCAUUGAAAGAAAUGGAAAAUGAAUUAAUCCGUUCCAGAUGGGUCCGCGGCGUUCGUAAACCAAAAAUUCAUAAACCGAGGUGUUCAUAAACCGAGGUUCCACUGUAAUGAGAAAUUCAGUUUAUACUGAUGGCUUUUCAUCCUCCUGCCAUUUUUUUGAUAAGUCUAUGGACAGUUGUCAGACACCGACAUCCUGGUGAACUAUCAAGCUGAGCGAAUUGAAAUCUUCAAAGAAAGAUGUGGGUUCUGUUUCACCAACUGCCGUUACCAUGAUGGACUGCCUUCUGCCUUUCCUAGUCAAUCUGUCACUUUGUAGGCCCCAAAAUCUUGCCUUGGCACGACAACACUGACGAAGCAGCAUUUUAAAAUUUUCUGAGGAGACUUGUCAUUCCACAGCCACCCUCCUUCUAGAAUUCCUUGGUUGAUUCAAGAGGCUGAGAUAUUAAUGACCUUUAAAUGCCUCUUAAAAGCAUAGAAGUUUACCCAAGCUUUCCUGGAUUCUGACUGUUGUGCUUUUAGUUUUGGUUUUCUACACAACCACUUUUUAUUAUCAAUUGUGUUCUUACCUAGUUCUUAAAAAUAAAAAGUACCUUUAACAAGCAUCAUCUAAGGUAUAUUAAUGAAAUGAAAUCCUAAGGGCUUAUUUUUACAACAAAAAGUGGGGAAAGAAACUGCAUUCACAAUAGAACAAUGGAUUUACAGUUACUCAGUUGGAACCAAGAUAUCACCUGUUGUUGCAGUUUGAAAGAACAGUACCACAGCUUCUAUGAAAGCUUUAUUUUUGUGACGUUCUACCCCAGCAAGAUUAGGGUUCUGUACACAACACCCAUUUAAGGCACAUGGCUUCCCCCAAAGAAUCAUGGGAACUAUACCCCUCACAGAGCUAUAAUCUCCAAUACCCUCAGCAAACUAUAGUUCCCAGGAUUCUUUGGGACAUGUGCAUUAAGUUUAUGGUGUGUACACAGCUCAGGGAUAAUGUAAUAAUAAUAAUAUUAAUUUAUUAUUUAUACAUCGCCUGCUCUGGGCGGCUUCCAACAGAACACCAAAAUACAAUAAUAUAUUAAACAUAAAGCUUCCCUAAAAGUGUAGAGCUCUCCAGGCUGCACAGGAAAAUACUACAAUUGGAAAGGGCCAUACCUGUGUUGAAAAUCACUCUCCUAAUGGUGAGCAAGAACUUCAGGGAUGGAGAAGAGAGUUCCUUUCUGUGCUUUCAUCUGUGGCACUUCAGCCCUGCAUUUUUUAAUGUGGCAGUAAGGAAAUGGAAAGUGACUGGGAUUUCCAGAAUUGCCAAGAGAAAAACCUCAAGUGCGCUCUCUCUCUCUCUCUGUGUGUGUGUGUGUGUGUGUGUGUGUGUGUAGGCGGGAGCACAUUUCCCCUCCUGCCCUUUACACGAGGACUCCAUCCCCGACAGGCCUCUGUGGUGUUUGCCCAUUCCUGGGGAACUACAACUCUGCAGGAGUGGGAAAAGGGUUAAUAGGCUGACCAAUAAGAAGCCGGAGGCGGAGCUUAGGGCUUUAAUAGCCCAGCCCUGAAGCAGUUGAGAAGCAGUUGAGUUGGGAGUAGUGGUUGUGAGGGUUGGUGUGUGGGACUUGAUGGUGGUGAGCUAGAGUGAGAUUCAGACAAGUUUAAGACUGAGAAAACUGUGUAACAGUGUAACUAAUACCUGAAGCUUGUUGGUAUUUAAAAUAAACACUUGUUUCUUUGUUUAACUUAAAAUCCUGACUGUGACUCAGCAAUUUACCAGGGGGAUCCUGAUUGGUGGCAGCAGAGCAGUGGUGGCACAGGGUCAAUAGCCCGUGAAAUGGUCGGGGGCCCUGUGUGAAUGCCACAGCCUCCUCUCUUAUGCAAGUUAUUAGGAUAGGAAUUAGAGAAGGAGGGGGAGUUGAGAGUUGAGAGUGAAAGAUUUAUGGGGAGGCUUCAUUUCUUAAAUAUUUUCCUCCAUUGCAAGAACCAGUGUGUGCCCUGUGCUUUAGAGUUCCUAAAAUUAAUAAAAUCCAGUAAGCAUUGGGGGGCACUCUCUUGCUUUUCCCAAAGCAUGGCAUGCUUUCAAAUUGUUCCUGAUAUCCCAAACUACCGGUAAAAAAAAUAUUUCUAUGCCUUUUGGUCAAAGCCUUCUCAUCUCCAGCAUUCUACACCUAAAACUGAGCAUUGAACGUAACGCCCUAAAACCCUUGGCUACUUCUGCGUAACCCACACACCGGCUGUAAAGUUGAGUGCACCCUUUGGGAGGCAGCAAUUACCGCUAAACAGGACGUUAUUCAUAGCAAACAGCACUUCUCUGCCCAAACAAUUUCCCCAUUUAGGGUCUGGGAGAAAUCUUAACUGCCCUCCAUGAUUCAGAGCUUUGGUAUCAGAACCUCAAAUGUUUAGUUUUUAUAUGCUUGUAAAUGUUUUGUUUGAAGGCAAACAGAGUUGGCCAGGAUUUUCAAGAGCCCAAGUGGUUUUUAAGCCCAGCUGUGCAAAACUGGCACUGUCUAUAGUUUGAGAUGCUGCCCUAAACUUCCAUAGCACAGCUGGGCCUAAUGAGAUAUUGUUACUUAUUGGGGUCUUAAGAACAGAGCAAGCCACCAGCAGCUAAAGAGGUUUUACCCAAGUAAUCUUAACAAAAUGUCUGCAGCCACAACCCUGAGGAUGCCCAUGUCAAUCUGGCUAUAGCAUGUUAGAGACGUUGUACAUUCUGAUUAAGAAUUAAGGCACUUGUCCAGGUGUGGAAAACCUUUGGCCCUGAUGUUGCAUGGCCAAUGGGCAACGAUUUCUCCAAUAGCUCACCAGCCCCCUAAACUCACUACUUUUGAGAGAUCAUCACUAAAUCUUGCUGGACACCCACUUUACUGUCUUUUAGAGGCCUGGUUGAAGUUUUCAUCUUAAGACAUUUUAAUAUUUCAUAUCUUAAAUCAUUGGCUGUUAGAACAUUUUCUAUCUUCCCAUUUUUGUUAUAUUUUGCUUUUGUUUGUACUUGAUAUUAUUGCGUUUUACAUUAUUCUAAGCCAGGCAUCCCCAAACUUCGGCCCUCCAGAUAUUUUGGACUACAAUUCCCAUCUUCCCCGACCACUGGUCCUGUUAGCUAGGGAUCAUGGGAGUUGUAGGCCAAAACAUCUGGAGGGCCGCAGUUUGGGGGUGCCUGUUCUAAGCCAUCCUGGAAUAAGAUUUUAUUAGCUUUUAUUCAUUGUUGAGGUGCAGCGAGUUUUGUUUGUUUUUCCUCUUUUUUAAUAGUUUUGCAUUUCUCUGUAUUUCAAUUUUAUUUUAACUUAUUUAUUGUAAGAUGUUGAAAGAACUUCAUUAUGGGCCAGCAUACACAUGAGAUAAUCAAAUAGAUAAGUGCUUUUUUAAAAUAAACAGUAGUUCAAAUAAUAAUAUCAUUGUAAUCUUUAUUUAGAGCAUUUUUACCCUGCUGUUGUGGAACAAACUGCCAGAUCAAUUGGGGAAAAGGUCAGAAUUGUAUGGCUUGCAAUAGGCACAACAGAGAGAGAGAGGUGAGGAGGGAGAAAGUGUUGUAAAAAUUGGGGUUUGGCUUUUGCUGCCCAACUUCCCAUGGGACUCUGAGUCCCCUAAGUCCAUGAUCAGUUAGAGAAAAAUGGAUGGAGACUAGAUCCAGUAGAAAGCAAGGCAGAUGUUUAUUUUUCUGUUGCAACAGAGUUUCCUCCUCCUUCCAAGGAGGGAGAGACCCUGAACAAAAGCGUGCAGGAACCUUUAAAGACUUUUGACAUUGUCCAACCCCCUUAGCCAAAGACCACCACCCCAAUCAUACAUACAUCAUAGGAGGUGGUCUACAGCAGAAAUCCUUUCUGCCAGGAUACCAGAUAAUGGUCACUGAUUGCAUUACUAGGGCAGCUUGGCCAUUCUUAUGUGAUGGUUAAUACUAUAGUUCCUGAAUGCAGGUCACAGGCUCACCCAUGUUGUUUAGUUGUGUCUGACUCUUCAUGAUCCCAUGGACCAGAGCACGCCAGGCAUUCCUGUCUUCCACUGUCUCCACAGUUUGGUCAAACUCAUGUUGGUAGCUUCGAGAACACUGUCCAACCAUCUUGUCCUCUGUCGUACCCUUCUCCUUGUGUCCUCCUCCCUAUUCAUACACAAAUACGCCCUUAAGACAGUAUUUAUAAGCAAAAAGACCAGUGGGAAGGCUUUCCCCAUUUGCCUCCCUUACUGCAGAGGAAUAUUUGAGGUCAUUGGGGGAGUCAAAAUGGCUUCAGGGUUGCCCUCCUGUACUGUUUUAGACACAUGGUUUAUAUAUUUAGAUAUGGGUGCAUUUAAUAAUAUUUAUUCUAUAUUUGAGACCUUAAAAUUCGUAUAACAAAGGAAAAACAACUCUUCAAAGUUUUUACAUAGAUGAUGGAAACAGAAGUGUACCCAGGUACCUUUCACCCUUUUCAAGGAGCUAUAUCUGCAUUGCCCCCUGCCCCCCAAAACAGCCUCUUUACUGCAUGCCUUUGUGUUGUGGCAGGAGAAGGGCAGGAAGCUUCUCCCAUGUUUGAUCUCACUACCACAGUGUUGCUGUGUCACCAUACACAUAUAUGUCAUACAGUCCAUAGUCUGAUAGGUGAUCUUUGUGUCCCUCCAGGGUUGUACCUGUGGCAGAAGCCGGUUUCGCCAGCUCCUUAGGUACACCUCUGGAUGGAAACACAUCAGUGAGAGCCAAACUGAACUGGUCCUUAAUAGUCAAGAGAACAGCCCUGCCUCCUCCAGAGAAGCGGACACGGAGCAAUGGAUUCAAAUGUCAAGAAAGAAGAUUCCACCUAAACAUUAGGAAGAACUUCCUGACAGUAAGAGCUGUUCGGCAGUGGAAUUUGCUGCUAAGGAGUGUGGUGGAGUCUCCUUCUUUGGAGGUCUUUAAGCGGAGGCUUGAUGGCCAUAUGUCAGGAAUGUUUUGAUGGUGUUUCCUGCUUGGCAGGGGGUUGGACUGGGUGGCCCUUGUGGUCUCUUCCAACUCUAUGAUUCUAUUUUAUGAUUCUAUGAUUCCUCCUUUACCACAAUGCUGUUCAGAAGGCUUUGGGCUAUCUCUAGCAUUCCCUGUCUGCAAGGGCUGUUGUGCUAGUGGACAGGUGUGUUCGAACGUUGCACACUUAGAAAUCCAAUGCAGCAGUUGCACUAGCAGAAAUUUGUUGGGCAAUAUAUAGCACAAACUAUUGCACAACAAAAGUACUAGCAACCUGCUUGUGCAUUUUCUCAUGCAACACUGUUCUGCUGGUGCAAUCAUUUUGCCAGUGGAACAAAUCUACUAUUAAGAGACUUUAUCUUAACACUACGUUGGAUACAACCCCUGGCUUGUUACCAUGGCUUGGUGUGAACGUGCAUAUUCCCAAGAGACGUGAUGGUGGCAAUUUUGCUCCUCCAAUCCUGAUGCUGCCAUGUUUCUUUGAGCUAAGCCAUGGUUUGACUUAGGAUGUUGCCUGAACCCAAGCUUGUGAUUUGUCUUGCUUCAGACAAAUCAUGAAUUGUAGCCAUAACCUAUAACCAUAUCUUGUAACUUACAUAGUCCACUUCUAAAAAUGUGUGAAAAAAGGCUUCCAGUGCCAUUUUAAGACUUCCAUUUUAAGGAACUUGCUUGUGAUCCAUUUUAAAUAGUUAAACCAUUUAUUGAAAAACUGAGAAAAAAUAUUUAUGUCCUCUGUUAUAAAAAGAAAAGUGUGCAGCCUGCAGAAGAAAAUAGUUCAAUAUUUAUAUCUAUACUUCAAAUGUUUGAUUUACCCCUUUUUGUAUUUAUAAUACGAUGAAACAAGUGAAAAUGCCAGUUAGGGCCAGCCAGGAAUUCAGGUUAUGUUGCAAUGUAGGCCACAUAAAAAAUUAGCUUUCUUUUUCAUCUAUACACAGAGACAAAAUACAAAGAGAUACUCUAACAAUGGUAUCAAAGCACGCCCCAAGUGCCAUUCCUAAUUUAUCUUACAUACUACAUUUCUAUACAAGGUAUAGAAUUGUGCUUUAUAGAUUGGGGAAGCCAGAUUUCUACAGCUCCGUUUGCCCUUGGCUAGGAAGAUCCCCUGGUCCAUUUACUUACCAAUCUCUACUAAACCAUCCUUGAUAUAAUGAUGAAUGCAGCAGCAUUAAAAAAAAAGGAAUAGGGCUGGGGGAGGGGGAAAGCCAGGAUAAAUUCUAGUGGGGCCCCUAUCUCAUGUAUUUCAAGGUGGCGCUGUGGGCUAAACCACUGAGCCUAGGGCUUGCUGAUCAGAAGGUCAGCGGUUCAAAUCCCUGUGACGGGGUGAGCUCCCGUUGCUUGGUUCCAGCUCCUGCCAACCUAGCAGUUCGAAAGCACAUCAAAAUGCAAAUAGAUAAAUAGGAACCGCUAUAGCGGGAAAAGUAAACGGCGUUUCCAUGUGCUGCUCUGGUUUGCCAGAAGCGGCUUUGUCAUGCUGGCCACAUGACCUGGAAGCUGUACGCUGGCUCCCUCGGCCAAUAAUGCGAGAUGAGUGCGCAACCCCAGAGUCGGUCACGACUGGACCUAAUGGUCAGGGGUCCCUUUACCUUUAAACAAAAGCAGUGGCAUAUUUCAUAUUAAUGCUCUAUUCCUAAAUACAUACCGUAUUAAGGCAUUUCUACCUUGUCUAUCCUCCCUUAAAAGGGGUCUGAUAACGACUUAAUGGAGAUCAAAUAUAAAGUGCCUGUCUUACAAUAUUUAUGUGACAACACAUAAGGAAAAGGGAUUGGGAGGGAGGAGGGGAAAACAAAAUCAAAGUGAGGCAGAUAUUCUUAGUCUGAGGCAGAUAUUCUUAGUCUUUCUCACACUUUCUUAUAAUGACCAACUGGAAUGGGAAAAGCUUAAAGGAGAAGAGUUGAAAGUUGCUGAUUGCUCAUCACAGCCAGUGGUGUAGGCCUGCUUCCAUUCUUUCCAAUUUACUCAGGAGGAAGUCUCAUUCAGUGAGUAGUAUAAUCACAGCUUUCCUUCAAGUUCUAAUGUGGGAUUUAACAGUGGUGGUCUCUUGCUGUGGUUUACAUUACAUGGUUUUUUCACCAUAAAGGGUUUUUUCCCCUGGCACAGUCUUUCAAAGUUUGUAUCAAAAAGUGCCUUUUUGUAUCAAAAAGUGCCUUCAAAAAUUGAACAAAUCCAAAUGGCUCAAGUAAGUUUGCCAUUUAACUCAACUCCCUGGUACCUCCAGGAAGGGUUGGGAGAGACACCACACCUGCCUGAAUACCUGGAGAGUUGCUGCCAGUCAGUGAGACAAUACACUGGGCUGGAUGAACACAGCAUAAGACCGCUUCCUAUGUUCCUAGUUCAUCGGCCGGCCACUUGCGGGUAGAAAGCAAAACAGGCAGGGUCUAAUGGAGACAGGCACCUCUUCUCCCUCACCCAUAAGUGUCUGCUGAUAGGAUUGCCAAAUCAAGAAAACCCAGAUUGCUCUGCUUUGCCUUGAGCCGAGUUCUGAGCCCCAGAAAUCAGCAAGUGAACCUGUUAAUGGAAAAGUGACUAGCAGAAUCCCGUUAAUUGCUGCAGACCCAGAACAGCUGCUAAAAGGAUUCUUAAAAGGGAUUUUUACAGGGGAUUCUUAAAAAGCUGCAGACUUGAAUUGGCUCACUAAGCUACUGUGUUGCACACUGGACUAGUCGACAUGAAAGAUGGUACUCUGUCACAAGAACAGAACGAAGUAUGCUGGCUGACAUCUCUUUCCCAUCUUUUCUUUUUUUGACAAACACUGGAACUUCGGAAUUAUCUCUCCUUAGAAGGAAACCUUAGGAGCAGAGCACAUCUCACCCCCACCCCCGCAAAAAGAUGAAAUAAAACCACACUGGAGAAACAUAGAUCGGGACUUCAUGGUGUUCAUUGGAUGAGAUCCUGGAGGAAUUUGGCAGAUGAUGUCAUGGCUUCAAAACGAGUUACUCCAGCCUCCGAAACAUAAGCAUACAUUUGCUUCAGUGGAAUAUAUAUAAUCAUUGGAUUAUUGGAGAAUGUCCAUUUCUUUUUAGACGGUUCCAAAUUCUUAAAUAUUUCCACCACCACCCAAAAAGAAAUAAAGCCACAGGAGGGCUGUGCACAGCUGCACUUUUUGAAUAAGGUUCUUAAUCCCAGGAAACCAGGGCUUCAUUCCUAAAUGGGGGGAAAGAGACACAUGGACUCAAGUUGGUCUAGAAACAGAAUAUGAAAGGCAUUUUAACUUAACUUGUGACAUUUGCUGCUCCUGUGUGGUGAGGACAGUGCACUCUGCACAUGUUCAGGGGCAUGUUCAUUCAUUCCAGGGGCUUUCAAACUGUGCUUGGAGGAGUCCCAGUUUUACUAGGUGUUGAUGAGGUUCUCAUGGAGGACAGCCAUCGUGGUGGUGGGGAGGACAUCCCUGAAAGUUGGCUUGCAUUCACAAGAGUAGAGGAGCACUGGGUGUGCUCUAGUUUAUGGCCUAUGGGUCAUGCCAACUGAGUGUGUGCCCUCACAAAUACCCAUAACCCUUUGCAAUAUGCAGAUAUGUCAACAUGUCAUGUGUGUUCUCUAAGGAGAAGUAGUCCGUACUUGAAGGACAGAGUUCCCUCCAACAGCAGGCAGUGGUGGCCAUCAACGUGGAUGGCUUUUAAAGAGGAUUGGAUGAAUUUAUGGAGAAGAUAGUUAUCGAUGACUAUUCUACUAUUCACAGUCAGGGGCACUAAUGCUUCUGAAUACUAGCUGCUGGACUCUGCAGGAAGGAAGAAUAUGGGAAUGAGUUCCAUUAACUCUGUGCUGUGUGGACAAAGUCAUUUCUUUUAUUUGUCCUGAAUUUUCCGACAUUCGGCGUCAUUGGAUGCCCAUGAAUUCUGCUGUCAUGAGAGAGGGGCUGGAUCUAGACAUGUCUAAGAAGCGAUUCAAUUAAACACGUAAUCUCAUACAGGGAAAUCCAGUAGGGAAAGAUGGGACUACACAACGCCAUCUGGUGUCACAGUACUAUAUUGCCUAUACAACACAUAUAAAAAUGCUUUUUCUUUUCUUUUUUGAAAUUGUUUUUAUUUGAUUUUACAAAUGUAAAGUUGUAACAAUACCAAAUACAUAUCCAUGUAUAGAGAUUUCUCUGAAUAUCAGGACUUCCCACCAUCCCCUCCAUGGGUUCUAUUGUCAACAUUUUCAACUGCAUAUUAUUUCAUAAUCUAUAUUUUGUAUCUGUCCAUAUUGUCCAUAGUGUUUGUUACAAGCGUUAUUAGAAUCCUGCUAAUGUUUUUAUCUGCUUACAGUGGCCUCCUAAAUAAAUUAUAAAUGUCUCCCAUUAUUUUUGUCUUCUUGGUUCUGAGCUUUCCGGUCAGUUUUACCAUUUCGGCGUAUUCCAACAGCUUAGUUUGCCAUUCCUCUCUGAUAGGGACUCUUUCUUCUUUCCAUCUCCCGGCUAGUACCAUCUGUGCGGCUGUCGUCAUGUACAUAAAAAGUCUUUUCUGAUUCUUUGGGAUGUCAUACAAUGCUUUUUCUUUACCAAUCUAGCUGAGUCCAAGGAUAAAAACUUCCCUCUGUUCAUUUUACCCAUGCCAUGCAUCAUCUUAUAAACUUCUAUCAUUUCACCUCUCCACCAAAAGUCCCAAAUGUUGCAACCUUUCCUUGUAGGAGAGUCUCUCCCAUUGAUCAUUUGGGUUGCCCUUUCUGAACAACUCUACAAUAACUUUUUCAUGGUGAGGUGGCCAGAUAAUUGGUUGUCCUCAUAAACUGUCCUCAUAAACUCCUGUAUGUUUACCCUCCCUCUGCCUCUCAUAAAAGCAAUUUCCUCCUCUCCCCAAUGCAGACAGAUAGAUGUUUAUUGCAUACUUCACGUUGUGCUGAAAGGAGCUUAUCUACUGUCUCCUUGUCAGGUUCUCAUAGCCAGCCCUGGCAGCGUAACACAGUUGUCCAUGGGGUGAUGUCAGCCCUGGGCAGGGAGUGCUGACUUGGGGUUGUCAAACUUUCAUAGCAGAGCCAGGAAGAUAUCUGGACAGCUGGGCCUGUGUUGUCUCAGGAUGCAGGAAGGGGGGCCAAACUUGGACCACUUUUAUCCUCUGGCCUCCUUGAACCACCAAGCUGCCCUUCCUUUCUUGGGCACAGCUGUGUCUCCGGCCUGCAAAUUUACGAGCAUGGAGGGACGAGGGAAUGGAGCAAAUGGGGAACCUGAAAAGGAGGACAAUGUUCAGUUGCAAGACAGGCAGAAAAGGUUAAGCACAUGUGCACUGUGCUGUGCUCAUCAUGCAUCUGAGGUCAACAACAGCUGUAAAGAGAGAGACAUAGAACUUGCCAAGCAUUGCUCUUCAGAACUGUGUCCUUGCAUUACAGACUGAAGGGAGAAGGGGAGUUAGUGAUGUUUACGGUAGAAGUAGUGUGGCAUGGCAGGAAGGAGAUCAAAGAAACGUGGAUAUAUAGAACCUUAGAAUUGUAGUGUUUUGUCAGAAUUUCAUUUCUUGUGACUUGAAGCCAUUGGUUUGAGUCCUACCCUCCAAAGCAGGAGAAAACAAGCUUGUUCCCCCUUCCAGGUGGCAGCCCUUCAGAUAUUUGAUGAUGGCUAUUAAGAAUUUUAAAGUCUCAUAUAUGGAAUAACCUGCCAACCUAGCAGUUCGAAAGCACGUCAAAAUGCAAGUAGAUAAAUAGGAACCGCUACAGCAGGAAGGUAAACGGUGUUUCCAUGUGCUGCUCUGGUUCGCCAGAAGCGGCUUAGUCAUGCUGGCCACAUGACCUGGAAGCUAUACGCCGGCUCCCUCGGCCAAUAAUGCGAGAUGAGCACGCAACCCCAGAGUCGGUCACGACUGGACCUAAUGGUCAGGGGUCCCUUUACCUUUACCUUUAUAUGGAAUAAAUGUUCACAAAUGUACACAUAUCUAAAUAUAUGAACCAUGUGUCUGAAAUAGUACAGGAGAGCAAUCCUGAAGCCAUUUUGACUCUCCCAAUGACCUCAGAUAUUCUUCUGCAGUAAGGGAGGCCUGUGGGGAAAGACUUCCCAUUGUCUUUUCGCUUGCAAAUCCUGUCUUAAGGGCGUAUUUGUGUAUUAAUGGCCAGGCUACCCAGUGACCAUUACCAGGUAUCACGGCAUACAGGAUUUCUGCUUUAGCUCGCCGCCUCCUGUGAUUUCUGCUGUAGACUGCCUUCUUCUGUGACAUAUGUAUGAUGUUGGGGGGGGGGUAUUCUGGUCUACAGGGUAGGCAAUUUCAAAAGUCUAUAUAAGGGCUUGUGCAUCAUUGUUCAGGGUUCUCCCUCCUGCAUGUGGUGAGUGGGGACCCUGUUGCAACAGUUCCUUGAAUAAAGAUCAGGCUCACUAGCCGCUUUCCUUCUCAAUAUACUCUGGUUGCCUCUGUUAUUUUCUCCUACCAAUAGGGAACCCACUUAAGCUCUCCUUGCAGGCUCUGGAAUACCCCAUAAGGGAAAGGGAGCAGUUUUUCUUAUAACAAUAUCUCCUCUCAAUCUCCUUUUCUCCAGGCGAAACAUACCAAGCUCCCUCAACUGUUCCUCAUAAGGCUAGUCUUCUAGACCCUUGAUCAUCUUAUUUACCGUCCUCUGUACACAUUCCAGCUUGUCAACAUACAAAUUGUGGGAUGCGCAGGAAGUCAGGCCAUCUGUCCCCUUGGCUCAGUGUUGUCAGUGACUGGCAGCAGCUCUCCAGGGUUUUCAGGAAGAUGGCAGUUCCAGCCCUACCUGGAUAUGUCUUGAGGACUGAACCUGGGGCCUCUCCAUGCAAGGCAGAUGCUCUUCCACUUAGAUAUGGCCUGUCCCCAAUCAUAGGAGUCUGUCUCAUACCAAGUCAGAAGCAGUUUGGGGAAUGUCUUGCUCAUCUUCCAGCUCCCAUCAUCCCUGACCACUGGCCAUGCUGCCUGGGAACAAUGGGAGUUGGAGUCCAAUAAGGAAUGUACAGUAGUACCCAAUCUCUGCCUUAUUGCUACUAACCACAAUGGAGGCAAUGCUACGGCUUCUGCAUCCCCGUCUCCAGUUCACCGGUAUCCAGAACCCCUCUCAAUCAAAAGUCGGUAAGGGAAAUGCCCCUUGUAACAUUUAACAAAAUUGAAAAAGAGCGGCGUUUAGGCAGGGUAGCUGGCCCUUUUUCUGCCCCCCCUUUCAAAAAAUUUAUAGUUUCCCCGCUUGGCAUAGUGCCCAAUAAACUCCCUGGUGAGUUCCAUAUGAUACACAACCUGCCAUAUCCUAGGGGCGGGUCUGUAAAUGAUGCCAUACCAUGUGAGCAUACCUUUGGCCGCUGACAAGACCGAGGGCCCGUCUACGGUCCUUUCCUACUUGGGUAUUGAACUGGACACACUUCAGCCAUUAUCACGCCUCCCACAGUCCAAACUCAAAUCCUUGAAAGCGUUGCUGGAAACAAUGCUGGGGGUUAAAAAGGCUACCCUUCUUCAGGUUCAAUCCCUAAUGGACCACCUCAAUUUUGCAUGUAGGGUAGUUGCGACAGGUCGUGCUUUCUGUGCACGCUUGGUGCAGCUCACGGCCGGGGGGGGGUAGCCCCCCACCAUCACUUCAGGGUGACAAAGCAGAUAAAGGAUGAUUUGAAGACUUGGCUUGCAUUCUUGUGGGAUUAUAAUGGGGUCUCAUUUUGGCACAAAAACAAAAAAACCUCAAUCCUGGGGUGGAGUUCCAGGUCCAUUCUGAUGCUUCUGGCCACUAUGGUUUUGGCGUGUUCUUCAGGGGCCAUUGGUGUGCCCAACCGUGGCCAUCCUCUUGGCAUGUAGCAGGCAUCACAAAAUGCUCAUACCAAUGACAAACUUAGUUGGUCUCUAAGGUGCUGCUGGAAGGAUUUUUUUUAUUUUGUUUUGACUACGUCAGACCAACACGGCUACCUACCUGUAACUAUUCAUUAAAAAUAGUUUAAAAAUAGUUAAAUAUCCAGAGAAGUGCUGUUCGCUGUCCCCCCACAUCUCGGAGACCCCAGUGGCUUCAACUAGAAGUAAAGAAGAUUCAGGACAGAUAAAAUACUUCUUUAUGCAGUGCAUAGUUGUGGCGUUUACCCGUUCUUUUGGAAAUGUCUUUACAGGGGGAGAGAAAGGAAUGGGUACGUAGACCAAUAGAAAAGCCCAGAGGCUUUAUAAAUAGUUAUAACCUGACUGAGUCUGAAUAUAUUACCGGGGAAAGCUGGUUGGUGGCAGUGGAAGAGAAUAGACGUGGUGGCACAGGAUCAAUAGUCCGUGGAACGACCGGGGGCUCUGUGUGAACGCCACAGUAGUUAACCUGUGGAACUCGCUCUCACAGGAGGCAGUGAUGGCCACCAACUUGGAUGGCUUUAACAGAGUUUUGGACAAAUACAUGGAGGAGGAGGAGAACACACUUGAUGGCAUCUGGUUAUUGUUAUAAGAAUUGUAAGGUCUUAGAUAUAUAAUAAAUGUUCAUAAAUGAUACAAGGCAAACACGUACAUAAAUAUAUAAACCAAUGACUGAAAACAGUACAGGAAGACAGUCCUGGAAGCAAUUUGACUCUUAAACUGAUCAAAUGUUUCACUGCAAGGAGGGAGGGGGUGAGGGAACCUUCCCAUUGUCUUAGGAAUUAAGUGAUUACCAUCUCAAAGGAAUGGCCAGACUACCAGGAAAGGAAAUUAGAUAAGGCAUUAUCACCUGGCAGACAGGAAUUUCCACCUGCUCCGGUUGGCCUAUGACCCGCCACCUGGCCAGGUAGGACAAAGGAUGCCUGGCCAGGGGGAGGUGGAGUUAGGCCAGGCAUCCCCAAACUUCGGCCCUCCAGAUGUUUUUGACUACAAUUCCCAUCUUCCCUGACCUCUGGUCCUGUUAGCUAGGGAUCAGGGGAGUUGUAAGCCAAAACAUCUGGAGGGCCGCAGUUUGGGGAUGCCUGAGUUAGGCCAAAGAAAGUAGGUCAAGCCUCUUUGUUCUUUCUUCCUGCUGGAGUCAAGAACUUCAUGAGCGUUCUCUUACGGAUCCAGGUACGUACAGGCCUUUUUAUGAUUUUAUUGUGGGUCGGGGGCAUGGCCCACUGCCCGGCUAGGCCGCAAUUUGCAGCCUUUCUUUGACGGUUUAGAACGUCUAAUUUCUUCUGUUCUCCGGGCACCCCAUGGCCCUUAAUUAGGCCGAUGGGCUGCCCUGCGGCCUGUUGUUGCGGCGGCAUGCAGGGGGUCCUGCGGGCCCAUCCGCGGCCGCCACUCCUGUUGGGGGUUGCGUGCGCCUGAGGGGGGGCUGCGCUGUGGCCUGUUGUUGCAGCAGGGGCAUGUCCCAUGGGCUCAUCCACCACUGCCGCUCACCUGGGCGCUCUCUCCAGGCCCAAUGUCUAUCUGGGCGCUCUCUCCAGGCCUGAUGUUUCCUUUUGUCUAUCUUCAUGUUGGGAGGGAUGCAAUCAGGCUCCCUUCCCAUGCGGCGGCGUUUGCAGGAGCCCAUUAAAGGGCAAAAAUCGGGAGUCCCUGGCCCUAGAGCGGCGGCAGAUAGGUCAAACUCCCAGGAUGGGGUUAGUGGAAGGGCAAUAGUGGAAGGUAAGUCUGCACUUUACAGUCCCCUCUCACUGUGCCUCAUCCGCCUGCGUAUCCUCAGCCAGACAGGCUGAGAGGGUUACCUGCCAAGGACUAGGCCAAGUUUCCCACUUCUGAAGUUCAAUAAAGUUGUGGCCAAUUUUAACCCAUACUCUGGUCUCUUGUCUCAUUAUUUGGGGAAUCAGGCACCACAGACAGGGUUUAGCGCGUGUGUGUCCGCAAAAACAACAUUAAAAUUUCUGUUGUAAACCACCUUUUCUGUGAUCUAUGUAUGAGGUUUCUGGGGGUGGUCUUGGACUCCAGGGUGGGCAAUUUGAAAUGUCUAUAUAAGGGCAGGCACACCUUUGUUCUGGGUCCUUCUCUUUUCUCCUGUGUGAGAGAGAACACCCUGUUGCAACAGGUCAAUAAAGAUCAGGCUUACUAGCUGCUUUGCUUCUCAAUAUUCUCUGGUUGGCCUCUGUUUUUUCCCUCCUACCGAUGGAGAACCUACAAAGGACUCUCUAAGGGCAGAUUAAGCUAUCUGAAGAAGUGUGCAUGCACACGAAAGCUCAUACCAAAAUAAAAACUUAGUUGGUCUUUAAGGUGCUACUGAAGGAAUUUUUUUUUAUUUUACUUCGACCCAGACCAACACGGCUACCUACCUGUAACCAGGGCAGAUUUUGUUUACAACAUUGGCCACUGUGAGAGCAGUAUGCUAGACUAGAUGGGCAACUGCCUGAUCCACCUGGGCUCUUCGCUUCUUGUGCUAUCCAGUGCAAUUUCCUGUCACCUUUCUUAUAACCAAUAGUCUGAUCCUUUAGGGUAGUGGGUUUGUUGUGCAAUACCUCCCAACUCACUAUAAUUGCACAAACUGAAAUUGCCAGUGAUAUAGAAAAAAUAGGGGUGGUUGGCUUUUGCUGCCCAACUCCCCCAAGGGACUGAGUCCCCUAAGUCCAUGAUCGGUCAGAGAUGAAUGGAUGGAGGCAGGAGGCUGUGAACCCAGAAGAAACAUCUCUUUUAAGGGUUUGCAUUUUGGCUUGGAGAAGAAGGACACCCCCUUUACAAACAGAAAUUACUAUGCACAUAAGAUGGUGUUGCUGUGGCUCAGGCAGGCCAAGGUGUGCUAUUCCUGAGGAUUUAGCAAGUUUUACAUAGUUCCAGACACAGUUUACACAAAACAUUAGCAUUUGAUAAGACAAUCAGGAUGCCAACAGACAUCUCUGGAUGCAGAGCAUCUGGGCAAACAAUGACAAUACAAAGGAGCUUCAUAGAUAUAGGAGAGGAAUCCCUUCAGGAACUUCUCCUGAUUGCUAUCUGCCUACCUGUUCUCAGGCAAGGGGGAUUAAGGAGGCAGAGGGAAUAUUUAGUCUUUGGGAGAGCCAAGAUUGCUUUUGGAUUGCUCUCCUGUACUGAUUUAGACAUGUGGCUUAUAUACUUACGUAUAUGUGUUUACCUUGUGCAGUCACCAACAUUUAUUCUAUAUCUGAGACCUUAGAAUUCCUAUAACAAUACCAUGUGAUUGUAUCUCACUCAGCAGGAGUCUGGAAAUGUCCUUAAACUCAGUGGCAAUGAGUUGGUUGGGAACUGCAUCAUGGCU